RNAcentral lists this unclassified non-coding RNA (240 nucleotides) under Hevea brasiliensis (rubber tree). The record is from RNAcentral. Lineage: Eukaryota; Viridiplantae; Streptophyta; Magnoliopsida; Malpighiales; Euphorbiaceae.
GCCAGAGACUCCCAUGUGCCGGUAUGUAUCAUAACAUUUCUCAUAGAAAUUAAUUCUCUGAGACUUUUGGGCUAUAAUUAGUAAUCACUAAUUAAUUGUUCUCAUAAAGAUUUGCAUGCUUGUUUCACAUGUGCUAUGGUAUGAUAUCAUGAACCAUGUGUUUUGCUGACUUUAGCAAAUCUUAAUGCCUGUUUAUAUAUUAAUGAUUAACAAUUUUUUUUUUAUUUAAUUGUAAAAUUA